UAGGGAAUCUUCCACAAUGGACGCAAGUCUGAUGGAGCAACGCCGCGUGAGUGAAGAAGGUCUUCGGAUCGUAAAGCUCUGUUGUUGGUGAAGAAGGAUAGAGGCAGUAACUGGUCUUUAUUUGACGGUAAUCAACCAGAAAGUCACGGCUAACUACGUACCAGCAGCCGCGGUAAUACGUAGGUGGCAAGCGUUGUCCGGAUUUAUUGGGCGUAAAGCGAGCGCAGGCGGAAUGAUAAGUCUGAUGUGAAAGCCCACGGCUCAACCGUGGAACUGCAUCGGAAACUGUCAUUCUUGAGUGCAGAAGAGGAGAGUGGAACUCCAUGUGUAGCGGUGGAAUGCGUAGAUAUAUGGAAGAACACCAGUGGCGAAGGCGGCUCUCUGGUCUGCAACUGACGCUGAGGCUCGAAAGCAUGGGUAGCGAACAGGAUUAGAUACCCUGGUAGUCCAUGCCGUAAACGAUGAGCGCUAGGUGUUGGGG
RNAcentral lists this ribosomal RNA (481 nucleotides) under uncultured bacterium. Its description in RNAcentral is "partial 16S ribosomal RNA". It matches the Rfam family "Bacterial small subunit ribosomal RNA", at positions 355 to 828 of the family's 1533-position model. The record is from RNAcentral.